GACGAACGCUGGCGGCGUGCUUAACACAUGCAAGUCGAACGGAAAGGCCCUGCUUGCAGGGUACUCGAGUGGCGAACGGGUGAGUAACACGUGGGUGAUCUGCCCUGCACUUCGGGAUAAGCCUGGGAAGCUGGGUCUAAUACCGGAUAGGAGCCAUUUUUAGUGUGAUGGUUGGAAAGUUUUUUCGGUGUAGGAUGAGCUCGCGGCCUAUCAGCUUGUUGGUGGGGUAAUGGCCUACCAAGGCGGCGACGGGGAGCCGGCCUGAGAGGGUGGACGGCCACAUUGGGACUGAGAUACGGCCCAGACUCCUACGGGAGGCAGCAGUGGGGAAUAUUGCACAAUGGGCGCAAGCCUGAUGCAGCGACGCCGCGUGGGGGAUGACGGCCUUCGGGUUGUAAACUCCUUUCGCUAGGGACGAAGCUUUUUGUGACGGUACCUAGAGAAGAAGCACCGGCUAACUACGUG
This 465-nucleotide ribosomal RNA is filed under the name uncultured bacterium. RNAcentral's name for it is "partial 16S ribosomal RNA". It matches the Rfam family "Bacterial small subunit ribosomal RNA", at positions 28 to 507 of the family's 1533-position model. The record is from RNAcentral.